GUCUAUGGCCACGUCACCCUGAACAAACCCGAUGUCUGAUCUCGUAAGCUAAGGAAGCUAAGCAGGGUCGGGCCUGGUUAGCACUUGGACAGGAGACCACCUAGGAAGACCAGGUGCUAUAGGCA
RNAcentral lists this ribosomal RNA (125 nucleotides) under Pteropus alecto (black flying fox). Lineage: Eukaryota; Metazoa; Chordata; Mammalia; Chiroptera; Pteropodidae. The record is from RNAcentral.